UGCUGUUGCUGUUGCUGUUGCUGUUGCUGUUGCUGUUGCUGUUGCUGUUGCUGUUGCAUGUGGCUGUUGGCUGUUAGUGUUGGUUGUUGGCUGUUGCACAAGCACAAGUGCACAACAGCUGUUAGCGGCUGCCUGCUAGUAGAAUAAAUUCAUGUUGGCUUGUUGCUAGCUGAUUUGUUAAAUCAUAACUUUGUUAAGGUCUUAAGAACAGUUAAUUUGUUGGCUUGUUGCUGCUGUAUUUUUAAACUUUAUGUUGGAUGUUGGAUGUUGGAUGUUGCUGUUCAGUU
RNAcentral lists this long non-coding RNA (287 nucleotides) under Panax ginseng (ginseng). RNAcentral's name for it is "long non-coding RNA (PGIN_LNC004621)". The record is from RNAcentral. Lineage: Eukaryota; Viridiplantae; Streptophyta; Magnoliopsida; Apiales; Araliaceae.